AGUGAACGCUGGCGGUAGGCCUAACACAUGCAAGUCGAACGGCAGCACAGUAAGAGCUUGCUCUUACGGGUGGCGAGUGGCGGACGGGUGAGGAAUACAUCGGAAUCUACUUUUUCGUGGGGGAUAACGUAGGGAAACUUACGCUAAUACCGCAUACGACCUACGGGUGAAAGCAGGGGAUCUUCGGACCUUGCGCGAUUGAAUGAGCCGAUGUCGGAUUAGCUAGUUGGCGGGGUAAAGGCCCACCAAGGCGACGAUCCGUAGCUGGUCUGAGAGGAUGAUCAGCCACACUGGAACUGAGACACGGUCCAGACUCCUACGGGAGGCAGCAGUGGGGAAUAUUGGACAAUGGGCGCAAGCCUGAUCCAGCCAUACCGCGUGGGUGAAGAAGGCCUUCGGGUUGUAAAGCCCUUUUGUUGGGAAAGAAAAGCAGCAGGUUAAUACCCCGCUGUUCUGACGGUACCCACAGAAUAAGCACCGGCUAACUUCGUG
RNAcentral lists this ribosomal RNA (492 nucleotides) under uncultured bacterium. Its description in RNAcentral is "partial 16S ribosomal RNA". It matches the Rfam family "Bacterial small subunit ribosomal RNA", at positions 29 to 507 of the family's 1533-position model. The record is from RNAcentral.